CACGGGCGCAAUGAAAGUGAACGGANGUGGGAACCCCCUUGGGGGGCGCACCAUCGACCGAUCCUGAUGUCUUCGGAUGGAUUUGAGUACGAGCGUCGGUUGACUGACCCGAAAGAUGGUGAACUAUGCGUGAAUAGGGUGAAGCCAGAGGAAACUCUGGUGGAGGCUCGCAGCGGGUUCUGACGUGCAAAUCGAUCGUCAAAUUUGCGUAUAGGGGCGAAAGACUAAUCGAACCAUCUAGUAGCUGGUUUCCAGCCNAAGUUUCCCUCAGGAUAGCA
Molecule: ribosomal RNA, 278 nt
Filed under: Placopsis aff. fuscidula Perez-Ortega 3316
Lineage: Eukaryota; Fungi; Ascomycota; Lecanoromycetes; Trapeliales; Trapeliaceae
Description: partial 28S large subunit ribosomal RNA
Rfam family: Eukaryotic large subunit ribosomal RNA
Source: RNAcentral